Molecule: ribosomal RNA, 215 nt
Filed under: uncultured bacterium
Lineage: Bacteria
Description: partial 16S ribosomal RNA
Rfam family: Bacterial small subunit ribosomal RNA
Source: RNAcentral
UGGGAACGUGCCCUUUGGUUCGGAACAACUCCGGGAAACUGGAGCUAAUACCGGAUAAGCCCCUCGGGGGAAAGAUUUAUCGCCAAAGGAUCGGCCCGCGUCUGAUUAGCUAGUUGGUGGGUAAUGGCCCACCAAGGCUACGAUCAGUAGCUGGUCUGAGAGGAUGAUCAGUCACACUGGGACUGAGACACGGCCCAGACUCCUACGGGAGGCAG